RNAcentral lists this small nuclear RNA (24 nucleotides) under Arabidopsis thaliana (thale cress). RNAcentral's name for it is "snRNA_02596". Lineage: Eukaryota; Viridiplantae; Streptophyta; Magnoliopsida; Brassicales; Brassicaceae. The record is from RNAcentral.
GGUUAAAAUCCACUGGUACCCAAA